Molecule: non-coding RNA, 3447 nt
Organism: Oncorhynchus mykiss (rainbow trout)
Lineage: Eukaryota; Metazoa; Chordata; Actinopteri; Salmoniformes; Salmonidae
Source: RefSeq, a predicted model, not a curated record
GUCUGUCCGCUGCAGGAAAAGUCUCUGGGUUAUGUAGCUACGGAGGGCAGACAUAUCCCAGCUAGUUAACGUUAGCUACCUUAUGUCAACUGUCCUAUCUGGUGAAUUCAAAUGCCAGCUAGCCUGUCACCCCCUGUGUAGACAGAUAUUAACGUUACGCCAAGAAACGUUUAGCUAACUAGGUUCGUCGAGAGAAGAGGAAAAUGUGCUCCCUGCACAGAGCGAGAGGCUCUGUUUUGGUGAUCUUCCUUCUGCUACACAGCGCUACAAGUUUCUAUCUACCGGGUCUGGCCCCUGUUAGUUUUUGUGAACCAGGACAAACUGGGAAAGAGAAUGAAGUACCGGACUGUAAGUCGACCAUCGAGAUAUUUGUGAACAGACUGGAUUCUGUGGAGUCUGUCUUACCCUAUGAAUACACUGCGUUUGAUUUCUGCGCUAUCGACUCCGAGAAGCGCCCGUCUGAGAAUUUGGGUCAGGUUUUGUUUGGCGAGAGAAUUGAGCCCUCUCCCUACAAGUUUGAGUUCAAGAAGAAGGUGGAUUGUAAGCCGGUGUGUACUAAAUCCUACAACACCAACAAGCCAGAGGACAAAGCCCACCUGGACUUUCUGAAGAAAGGCAUGUUGCUCAACUACCAGCACCACUGGAUAGUGGACAACAUGCCGGUGACCUGGUGUUAUGACGUGGAGGACGGACAGAAGUUCUGUAACCCAGGGUUUCCCAUUGGCUGCUACGUCACUGAGGCGGGACGACCCAAAGACGCUUGUGUUGUCAACUCUGACUUUAAGGACAAAGACACAUUCUACGUCUUCAACCAUGUUGACAUCACCAUUCACUAUCAUGUGGUGGAGAACGAGGCUGCUGGGGCUAGACUGGUCGCUGCCAAGAUGGAGCCCAAGAGCUAUAAACACACCAAAGUGGAGGCCCCCGACUGUGCAGGAGGGCCCAUGUACCUGAACAACAAGUUCAGUGGAGAGCUGAAGAUCGGCUAUACCUACUCUGUCCAGUUUGUGGAGGACACGCACAUCAGAUGGGCGUCACGUUGGGACUACAUUCUGGAGUCCAUGCCCCACACCAACAUUCAGUGGUUCAGCAUCAUGAACUCUCUGGUGAUCGUUCUCUUCCUGUCUGGUAUGGUGGCUAUGAUCAUGCUGAGGACUCUACAUAAGGACAUUGCCAGAUACAACCAGAUGGACUCUGUGGAAGAUGCCCAGGAGGAGUUUGGCUGGAAGCUGGUCCAUGGAGACGUCUUCCGGCCUCCCAGGAAAGGCAUGCUCCUCUCUGUCUUUCUGGGAUCUGGAACUCAGAUCUUCAUCAUGAUGUUCGUCACUCUCUUCUUUGCCUGCCUGGGCUUCCUGUCCCCGGCGAACCGCGGUGCCCUGAUGACGUGUGCCGUGGUGCUCUGGGUCCUACUGGGCACACCAGCCGGCUACGUGGCUGCCCGUUUCUACAAGUCCUUUGGUGGGGAGAAAUGGAAGACUAACGUCCUGCUGACCUGCUUCCUGUGUCCUGGGGUUGUGUUUGCUGAUUUCUUUGUGAUGAAUCUGAUCCUGUGGGGUGAGGGCUCGUCUGCAGCCAUGCCCUUUGGCACCCUGGUGGCCAUCUUGGCUCUGUGGUUCUGCAUCUCUGUCCCCCUCACCUUCAUAGGGGCCUACUUCGGCUUCAAGAAGACUGGGAUUGAGCACCCUGUGCGGACCAAUCAGAUCCCUCGUCAGAUCCCGGAGCAGUCGUUCUACACCAGAUCUCUCCCAGGGAUCGUCAUGGGGGGGAUCCUCCCGUUCGGCUGUAUCUUCAUCCAGCUCUUCUUCAUCCUCAACAGCAUCUGGUCUCACCAGAUGUACUACAUGUUUGGUUUCCUGUUUCUGGUGUUCAUAAUCCUGGUAAUCACCUGCUCUGAGGCCACCAUCCUACUCUGCUACUUCCACCUCUGUGCUGAGGUAAGACACCACACACACACACACACACCAUCCUACUCUGCUACUUCCACCUCUGUGCUGAGGACUACCACUGGCAGUGGCGUUCCUUCCUGACCAGUGGUUUCACGGCCGUCUACUUCCUGGUCUAUGCCAUCCACUACUUCUUCUCCAAGCUCCAGAUCACAGGAUUGGCUAGCACCAUCCUCUACUUUGGUUACACCAUGAUCAUGGCUCUCAUCUUCUUCUUAUUCACAGGAACGAUUGGAUUCUUCGCCUGCUUCUGGUUCGUCACCAAGAUCUACAGCGUAGUGAAGGUGGACUGAGUAGUUAACCAAAAACUAAACCAAUGGAUUGUCCUGUUUACUCUGCCACGCCCCCUCCCCCCGCCCCCCUCACCCUCCCUGGGCUGGAGGGACACUAUUGUUACGUUACACCCUGACUGCGUACGGUGACCAGGGCCCACUGGUCUAAAUAGGGAGCCGUUUGGAACACAACCCUUGUCUACUGUGUGGAAGACGCAUUUUUGUCAGAGCAGCAAGACAACAGAGUCUUCCCGUGUGUGUGUGUGUACACACACAUCUAUACAUAAUGUAGUCUGGAGUGCAGGAAAUACCUGUUGGAGGUCCAGAUCCUACUGCACAUCAAUCCUUUAUUCACCUCUGACAUGGAAACAGGAAAUCUAGAAGGUUGUGACUAUUAACACCCCCCCACUCCCCCGGUUACAGUUAGUUUCUGUCCCCACGUUGGCGCACUAAGGUGAUUUUACGUUGUCAUUCAAACUAUUAAUAGUGUUGGACAAUAUGAUUGUAAAUAACUAUUUUUUUUCUUCUAAUGCUGAUGAAUGAUUUGGGGUCGUAAUAAGCUUUAUAAUGUGAGAUGGAAUUCCUCCUCUAACCCAUGUUCUGGGCUGGUAGUGUAGUCGGAAGAGAGUCCCAAAUGGCACUCUAGUCUGCACUACAAAAGUAGUCUGCACUAUGUAGGGAAUAGGGUGCAAUUUGGGAUGAACACAUUUUCUCUGGGUUUUGUUUUAUUUUGUAUUAUAAAUGCUUGAGUAUUAACCAACUGGUCUGUUAUUUAACUUUAUAUUCCAAUUACAUUAUUUUUUUGUCUAUUCUUUAUUUUAUUUUUUGCCUCAGACACGUGCCUCAUCAGUAGUUCAUUUUAUUUUCAAAAACCAACCGUUUGGGAUUUUGUGAAAGGCAUCAUCGACUUCUGUGUUCCAAAUGGCACCCUAUUCCCUAUGUCGUGCACUACCCUUGAUCAAGGGCUCGGGUCUAAAGUAGUGCACCACAUAGGGAAUAGGGUGCCAUUUGGGACAUCGUCCAUCAGUUAUGUGGGGCUCUGAUUCUUAUAUCCUUUCAGUGUAAAUAUACUCUCUUCAUAAAUGAUACUAGUUUCAUUAGUCUGACCGAGCAUCUGGGUUCCUUCUCUCCUUCACUGGGUUCCUUCUCUCCUUCACUGGGUUGAAAUGAUGUAAUUAUGAUCUGAAAAAUAAGAAAUGGUCCAUUUAAAAUAAAACAAUGUUCCUGUUGGA